UGGGAAUUUUGGACAAUGGGCGCAAGCCUGAUCCAGCCAUGCCGCGUGCGGGAAGAAGGCCUUCGGGUUGUAAACCGCUUUUGUCAAGGAAGAAAUCUUCUGAGUUAAUACCUCGGGGAGGAUGACGGUACCUGAAGAAUAAGCACCGGCUAACUACGUGCCAGCAGCCGCGGUAAUACGUAGGGUGCAAGCGUUAAUCGGAAUUACUGGGCGUAAAGCGUGCGCAGGCGGUUUUGUAAGACAGAGGUGAAAUCCCCGGGCUCAACCUGGGAACUGCCUUUGUGACUGCAAGGCUUGAGUGCGGCAGAGGGGGGAUGGAAUUCCGCGUGUAGCAGUGAAAUGCGUAGAUAUGCGGAGGAACACCGAUGGCGAAGGCAAUCCCCUGGGCCUGCACUGACGCUCAUGCACGAAAGCGUGGGGAGCAAAACAGGAUUAGAUGCCCUGGUAGUCCACGCCCUAAAACCGAUGUCAACUGGUUGUUGGGAAGGUUCCUUCUCAGUAACGUAGCUAACGCGUGAAGUUGACCGCCUGGGGAGUACGGCCGCAAGGUU
Molecule: ribosomal RNA, 551 nt
Filed under: uncultured bacterium
Lineage: Bacteria
Description: partial 16S ribosomal RNA
Rfam family: Bacterial small subunit ribosomal RNA
Source: RNAcentral